RNAcentral lists this ribosomal RNA (495 nucleotides) under uncultured bacterium. RNAcentral's name for it is "partial 16S ribosomal RNA". It matches the Rfam family "Bacterial small subunit ribosomal RNA", at positions 28 to 507 of the family's 1533-position model. The record is from RNAcentral.
GACGAACGCUGGCGGCGUGCCUAAUACAUGCAAGUAGAACGCUGAAGGAGGAGCUUGCUUCUCUGGAUGAGUUGCGAACGGGUGAGUAACGCGUAGGUAACCUGCCUGGUAGUGGGGGAUAACUAUUGGAAACGAUAGCUAAUACCGCAUAAUAGCAGUUGUUGCAUGAUAACUGUUUGAAAGAUGCAAUUGCACCGCUACCAGAUGGACCUGCGUUGUAUUAGCAAGUUGGUGGGGUAACUGCUUACCAAGGCGACGAUACAUAGCCGACCAGAAAGGGUGAUCAGCCACACUGAGACUGAGACCCGGCCCAGACUGCAUCAGGAGGCAGCAGUAGGGAAUCGUCGGCAAUCGACGGGAGUCUGAACGAGCAAGGCCGCGUGAGUGAAGAAGGUUAGCGGUUCGUAAGGCUCGGUUUUAGGUGGAGAACGAGUGUGAUAGUGGAAAGUUCCCAGUGUGACGGUACCUUACCAGAAAGGUACGGCUAACUACGUG